This 253-nucleotide ribosomal RNA is filed under the name uncultured bacterium. RNAcentral's name for it is "partial 16S ribosomal RNA". It matches the Rfam family "Bacterial small subunit ribosomal RNA", at positions 524 to 776 of the family's 1533-position model. The record is from RNAcentral.
UACGUAGGGGGCAAGCGUUAAGCGGAAUUACUGGGCGUAAAGCGUGCGCAGGCGGUUUUGUAAGUCAGGGGGGAAAUCCCCGGGCUUAACCUGGGAACUGCGUUUGAAACUACAAGGCUAGAGUGUGGCAGAGGGGGGUGGAAUUCCGCGUGUAGCAGUGAAAUGCGUAGAUAUGCGGAGGAACACCGAUGGCGAAGGCAAUCCCCUGGGCCUGCACUGACGCUCAUGCACGAAAGCGUGGGGAGCAAACAGG